CCAAUAGCGUAUAUUAAAGUUGUUGCAGUUAAAAAGCUCGUAGUUGAAUUUCGGGGUUAGUAGGUUGGUCGUGCCUAUGGUAUGUACUGGCUUUACUGAUUCCUCCUUCUUGAAGAACUGUAAUGUCAUUAAUUUGGUGUUGCAGGGAAACAGGACUGUUACUUUGAAAAAAUUAGAGUGUUUAAAGCAGGCUACCGCUUGAAUACAUUAGCAUGGAAUAAUGAAAUAGGACGUUUGAUCCUAUUUUGUUGGUUUCUAGGAUUGACGUAAUGAUUAAUAGGGAUAGUUGGGGGCAUUAGUAUUCAAUUGUCAGAGGUGAAAUUCUUGGAUUUAUUGAAGACUAACUACUGCGAAAGCAUUUGCCAAGGAUGUUUUCAUUAAUCAAGAACGAAAGUUAGGGGAUCGAAGACGAUCAGAUACCGUCGUAGUCUUAACCAUAAACUAUGCCGACUAGGGAUCGGAUGAUGUUAAUUUUUUAAUGACUCAUUCGGCGCCUUACG
RNAcentral lists this ribosomal RNA (500 nucleotides) under uncultured Glomeromycotina. RNAcentral describes it as "partial small subunit ribosomal RNA". It matches the Rfam family "Eukaryotic small subunit ribosomal RNA", at positions 591 to 1092 of the family's 1831-position model. Lineage: Eukaryota; Fungi; Glomeromycota. The record is from RNAcentral.